Long non-coding RNA from Rhododendron vialii, 636 nucleotides. RefSeq lists it as uncharacterized. Lineage: Eukaryota; Viridiplantae; Streptophyta; Magnoliopsida; Ericales; Ericaceae. The transcript has 2 exons. The record is from RefSeq and is a predicted model, not a curated record.
GUAGUGUUCCGUUGAGGGAGCAAUUGGAUAACCAGAAGACUUGUAGGUUUCGAAAUCCACCUAUGCUGUAAUUAGGAAUAGGUCCCCCAAAAAGUGGAUUAAACGAAAUGUCUAAAAUAACAAGUUGUGUUAGGUUGGCCACCCAACGUGGAAAUGGGCCGUUUAAAUUAUUAUGGUAGAAUGAUAAAUCUCCAACUUUAUAAGCUUAGAAAAGAACUCGGGAAUGGUACCAUCGAGAUUGUUGUCCUCAACUCUGAAUUCGAUGAGUUGCUCAAGAUUUGAGAGCGUAGACGGGACCUGACCGUUCAAAUUGUUUCCCAAUAAACGUAAUACAAUAAUCCUCAUGAGGUUUCCAAGCGACUCGGGAAGAGGCCCAGAAAGUUCGUUGACAGAGAGAUCUAGGUACUUUAAAAACCCAAGAUAGCCAAUUGACUGCAGAAUGGGACCAUGCAGUUUAUUGUUGCUCAAGUCAAGGGACUCCAACUUUAUAAGCUUAGAAAAGAACUCGGGAAUUGUACCGUCGAGAUUGUUGCCAGCAAUAUUGAAUUCGGUGAGUUGCUCAAGAUUUGAGAGAGGUGGAAAGGGGGAGAAGUUGAAGUGAUUGAAGGCGAGAUUGAGUUGCUGGAGGUGUGAGAG